UAGGGAGACCUAAUCCAUUUAGAAAUCGAAAACAAUGAAAAUUGUCAAUAGAAACUAAAUUGGUCUAACCUAGGUCGUUCGAGAUUGGUAGACAUCUUUCAAAGUAUUAUUCGGCUUCGUCCAAAACCAUAUAUAAUAAAUGGAAAAAGACAGCACCUAAUUGUCAAAGUUAGACUGUUGGAUGAAGUUCCAGCCAGAACCUUGAAAACUGCAUAAGAGAACAAGAAAAAGCAGGCAGACACAGACAUUUAGAUGGAUGUGGAAGCAAAAGAAAUUGU
Molecule: unclassified non-coding RNA, 278 nt
Filed under: uncultured Anabaena sp.
Lineage: Bacteria; Bacillati; Cyanobacteriota; Cyanophyceae; Nostocales; Nostocaceae
Description: partial 16S-23S ribosomal RNA intergenic spacer
Source: RNAcentral